RNAcentral lists this long non-coding RNA (1320 nucleotides) under Anas platyrhynchos platyrhynchos (common mallard). RNAcentral's name for it is "lncRNA (ENSAPLG00000017358.1)". Lineage: Eukaryota; Metazoa; Chordata; Aves; Anseriformes; Anatidae. The record is from RNAcentral.
AGCUGUUGCAUUUCUUAGUCUUAAGAUGUUCACUCUGACACUGGAAUUUGAGAAAUGUCUGUUCAUUAAUAGCUUCAAGUUUACAGCAGCCCCUGAAUGCAGCCUUCCAUUCUGAACCCAACAAUUCAAUGGGAUGAACAAGCAACUAAAUCUACAUUAUGGUGGUGGUGUCAGUGAUGGAACAGGCUCCUGCAAAGUCUGACGAAUAUCUUUCCUUGCAGAUAUUCAAAGUGCUACUGGAUGUGACCAGGAGUAACCUGAUUUAACUUUGGCAUUAGCCUUGGUUUGAGUGAGAGAAUGGAGCAGAUCCGAUGACCCCCAGAAGUCCAUCCCCACUUGAAUUUUGCUAUGAUUCUGUAUGGAGACCUCAUUCUCUUGUAAAGACAAAUAAAUGAAAGAAGUUCUUGAGCACUUACUACUGUUCACACUAAAGAAGAUCAUGCAAAUGCCCGAGGACAAACUGCACAUUGGCUUUGGAGAAAGAAGACAUUGGGGAGUGGAUCCCCACAAGCUCCAGGGACCCUCCAUCUCCUCAGACACUCAGGAAAAAAAAAAAAAAAAAAAAAAAAGUAAAGCUCAGUGUUUGUACACUUCAAUAAAACAAGGACUUUCAGCUUCCUGGGUUUUGGAAGAUGACUGUGCAAAUCAUCCUGUAAAACCCUGCUGAGUUGUUUGGGGCUGGAAGAAGCACGCUGCACAUAGUGUCCCUUAGUGCUUUCAAUCUCAUCUUUUAUGACAGCUGGGAAGGAGGAAAAAAAUGUGAAAGUGACAGUAAAGAGUGGAGAGGCACAGAGCUGCAGUGCUCAGAGAAGAUUGGAAAGGACUUGGCUUUUCCAGUCAAGGCAGCUUGUACCACGCUUUGAACUUCCAGGCAAGAGCAAAAACAGGUUUGAACAGGGAAAGAAGAAAUGUAAUGCAUUUGCAAAGCAAAAGACUUCUACGUAACAGACCACUGUAGAGGAUAAUUUGUUCUAGUGUAAAAUAUCAGUGAUAUUUGAAGUUAUCUGUGACUUUUAUUCUCUUUGACUCUUAGUCUAUAGAUGUAUGUCAUUUAUAUGGUAAGAAUUACCAUUAUGAGGCAGAUGUGAGAUCUGUUCUUCAUAUAGGUCUUAUGUAUAGGUCUUACAGCAAGACAAUACUUUUUUUUUUUUUUUUUUUUUAACACACAUAUAUAUAUAUAUAUUUUAACAAUGGUAGUGUUAUUAAUUGCGUUGUCCCUAGAUUGUAUUGCGGUAUUGGAACUUGCUGUCCCUCUGUUUUUUUGUGAGCCUGGACACAGUAAGAACAACUAAAAACAUUGUAAACAUUGUUGGACAGAUU